UACGAAGGGGGCUAGCGUUGUUCGGAAUUACUGGGCGUAAAGCGCGUGUAGGCGGGUCUUUAAGUCAGGGGUGAAAGACGGUAGCUUAACUAUCGCAGUGCCUUUGAUACUGCAGGGCUUGAAUGUACUUGAGGUAGGCGGAAUGUGACAAGUAGCGGUGAAAUGCAUAGAUAUGUCACAGAACACCAAUUGCGAAGGCAGCUUACUAAAGUAUGAUUGACGCUGAGGCACGAAAGCGUGGGGAUCAAACAGG
Molecule: ribosomal RNA, 253 nt
Filed under: uncultured bacterium
Lineage: Bacteria
Description: partial 16S ribosomal RNA
Rfam family: Bacterial small subunit ribosomal RNA
Source: RNAcentral